RNAcentral lists this unclassified non-coding RNA (310 nucleotides) under uncultured fungus. RNAcentral describes it as "partial contains small subunit ribosomal RNA, internal transcribed spacer 1, and 5.8S ribosomal RNA". The stretch from base 1 to 73 matches the Rfam family "Eukaryotic small subunit ribosomal RNA", at positions 1759 to 1831 of the family's 1831-position model. The record is from RNAcentral. Lineage: Eukaryota; Fungi.
GCAAACUUGGUCAUUUAGAGGAAGUAAAAGUCGUAACAAGGUCUCCGUUGGUGAACCAGCGGAGGGAUCAUUAACGAGUUCUCGCAACUCCCAAACCCAUCGCGAACCUUACCAAUCGUUGCUUCGGCGGUCGAGGCCCCGCGGCGCCCCAGGGCGCCCGCGGACCCAGGCCCCCGCCGGAGGCACCCAAACCCUGAUUUCAGCGGCCCCAGGCCGAGAAUUCUGAACAGCCCUAGCGGGCGAAAAAAGCAAAUGAAUCAAAACUUUCAACAACGGAUCUCUUGGUUCUGGCAUCGAUGAAGAACGCAGC